ACGCUGGCGGCAGGCCUAACACAUGCAAGUCGAGCGGUAGAGAGAAGCUUGCUUCUCUUGAGAGCGGCGGACGGGUGAGUAAUGCCUAGGAAUCUGCCUGGUAGUGGGGGAUAACGUUCGGAAACGGACGCUAAUACCGCAUACGUCCUACGGGAGAAAGCAGGGGACCUUCGGGCCUUGCGCUAUCAGAUGAGCCUAGGUCGGAUUAGCUAGUUGGUGGGGUAAUGGCUCACCAAGGCGACGAUCCGUAACUGGUCUGAGAGGAUGAUCAGUCACACUGGAACUGAGACACGGUCCAGACUCCUACGGGAGGCAGCAGUGGGGAAUAUUGGACAAUGGGCGAAAGCCUGAUCCAGCCAUGCCGCGUGUGUGAAGAAGGUCUUCGGAUUGUAAAGCACUUUAAGUUGGGAGGAAGGGUUGUAGAUUAAUACUCUGCAAUUUUGACGUUACCGACAGAAUAAGCACCGGCUAACUCUGUGCCAGCAGCCGCGGUAAUACAGAGGGUGCAAGCGUUAAUCGGAAUUACUGGGCGUAAAGCGCGCGUAGGUGGUUUGUUAAGUUGGAUGUGAAAUCCCCGGGCUCAACCUGGGAACUGCAUUCAAAACUGACUGACUAGAGUAUGGUAGAGGGUGGUGGAAUUUCCUGUGUAGCGGUGAAAUGCGUAGAUAUAGGAAGGAACACCAGUGGCGAAGGCGACCACCGGACUAAUACUGACACUGAGGUGCGAAAGCGUGGGGAGCAAAC
This 744-nucleotide ribosomal RNA is filed under the name uncultured bacterium. Its description in RNAcentral is "bacterial SSU rRNA". It matches the Rfam family "Bacterial small subunit ribosomal RNA", at positions 33 to 773 of the family's 1533-position model. The record is from RNAcentral.